GAUGAAGAACGCAGCGAAAUGCGAUAAGUAAUGUGAAUUGCAGAAUUCAGUGAAUCAUCGAGUCUUUGAACGCACAUUGCGCCCCCUGGUAUUCCGGGGGGCAUGCCUGUCCGAGCGUCAUUGCUGCCCUCAAGCACGGCUUGUGUGUUGGGCCUCCGUCCUCCUCCCGGGGGACGGGCCCGAAAGGCAGCGGCGGCACCGCGUCCGGUCCUCGAGCGUAUGGGGCUUCGUCACCCGCUCUUGUAGGCCCGGCCGGCGCUUGCCGACACAUCAAUCUUUUUUCCAGGUUGACCUCGGAUCAGGUAGGGAUACCCGCUGAACUUAAGCAUAUCAAUAAGCGGAG
RNAcentral lists this unclassified non-coding RNA (343 nucleotides) under soil metagenome. RNAcentral's name for it is "partial contains 5.8S ribosomal RNA, internal transcribed spacer 2, and large subunit ribosomal RNA". The stretch from base 1 to 120 matches the Rfam family "5.8S ribosomal RNA", at positions 35 to 154 of the family's 154-position model. The record is from RNAcentral.